Molecule: long non-coding RNA, 536 nt
Organism: Herpailurus yagouaroundi (jaguarundi)
Lineage: Eukaryota; Metazoa; Chordata; Mammalia; Carnivora; Felidae
Exons: 3
Source: RefSeq, a predicted model, not a curated record
AUUGUCGGAGCAACGCCUCCGCUUUCUUGGUCACCCCCCGGCCCAGGCUGGAAUGGGAGGACCCAGCGCGCCACGUGACCGAAUACUGCGCGUCACGUGACGAGGAAGCAGCGCAGCGGCGCCCGGGGAAGGAGUAGCUCUGGCGGAGCUUCUAGCAACCGUGGCGUCGGGCCCUGAGGCGCGCAGGAUUGGAGCUCCUCGAAUUUUCCCCCUCAGAUACGCUAGUUGCGGGUGGUGUCCCGUGAUGGGGGGCAUGAGUCCUGUCUCACCAUGUCUGGCUGGCGGCGACCCAGGUGCCACGUGAUGGUCAUUUGAAGACAGGCCUGUCGGAUGUCAGAUGCCUGGGAUGUGGACAAGAUGCCUGGAGAUUCAGAAACCAUUUGUGAUCAUGAAGACAAAAGCCACAAAGGACAUCAGCCUUGGACAGCCGAACACCUACACCUUAUAUGAGAAAAAUAAGCCACUUGUCUACUGGAGCCAUUCUUACUUGAAGCUGACUGCCACUUCAGCUAUGGUUUAAGGAUUCAAAACACUUU